RNA transcript from Nycticebus coucang (slow loris), 4551 nucleotides. It is a transcript of the gene named KRAB domain-containing protein 4-like, with no coding region annotated. Lineage: Eukaryota; Metazoa; Chordata; Mammalia; Primates; Lorisidae. The record is from RefSeq and is a predicted model, not a curated record. The transcript has 4 exons.
CUGAAGAGGUUAUCAGUUCAGCUCUAGUCUAGAAAUAAAUAGGUUGGUAUCUCUAAACGUGGCUAUCGUUUACACAUACACCUGAAAUCCUGAAAGGGUGAUAAUUGUCUCCAAACCCAAGGGAAAACAGGCUCUUUUCCUGAGAUUUGUACAGAAGAGACAAAGUCACUUCUCACAUGUCAGCCGAGUUUGCGGUUGGGCUGUGACUCACACAAACCACCUGGGGAAUGAGUAACCUCAGAGAAGAAAGGAAAAAAAGAGAAGGAAACACGUUCAAGUUCUAUGAUCAUCUUUGACACUGAGACCUAUGAACAGGGUAUGGCACAAGCUGGCUUCAGCACAGAAGGAACUGCAUGUACCUGGGCUAAGACCCUGCCAUGCCAGACCAGAGGAGGACUGCUUGGUGACCAGGCAGGCACAGUAAGCACAGAGAACACACUUGGCCUCUCUCCUUCAGACCCUGACAGGAAACAAAACACUUUCCUCCAGGCCACCACAGGCCUUUGUAGCAAGCCAUGGUGCCACUGGCUGGCUUUCUCAGAGAGAACUGUUCUCUGCUACUUUACAAUGCAUUUCCCAAGAAGCAAAACCCAGAUUUUCCCAGAGAGUCUGGAGUCCCUCCAUUUGUUAGUGAAAAGUGGAGGGAGGGUUUCUUCCGACGGAGAGGUUGGUGGCCUGGAGGCCCAGCCCCAGAGCCCCUCCUUCAGGCCAUUUUCCCUAAUAAGCCAGACCCCCUGCUCUCACGACUGUCUGAGCCACGCCCAGGGCCCUGCUCCGUACGCCCCGCCCCGCCCAUAGAUGGCGGCGCCCUAGUGCCGCUAAUGACGCCAGAGACGCGACUCUGUUUUACUAUUCCUAGGAGCAGAAGACAGCGGAAAGCGUGGCUUUGGCAAUUUAGGGGCGCAAACUCCCAGGGGCGUGGGACGAUGAACUGGAAGAGGGGGCUUGGGCCUCGGUGCGGGCGCCAGGCAGGCCGCUGGAAAGUCCGCGCCAAGCCCGCUGGCCUCUCGUCGCCCAGGGACGCCGGUGGAAAUGGUCGCACGUUCUUGUCGCACCUUCUUGCCUCUGAGCGAGCACUGUGAGAACCACACUACCUGAACGGCGCCACGUUGCCCAUUGUCGCCGGUGUCCCUCGACCCCAUGUCGUGUCACACGUGUGCGCCGUGCCGCGACCUCGCGUUCCCAGGGGCUGAUCCAGAAGGGCCGCUUCUAGUUGGUUCUGAGGUCAUCGAAACCGCCUCUGAGGUUUCGGGCUUUUGUCAGUGAAGUAAAGGGGAGGCAGAGAUGGCGAUGGGUUUGUUGACCGGAUCGUGGCUGAGCGCCCUGUAGGGGUUGAGUGACACGGGCCGUGGGCGUGAGUGUUGGGGGCGAAGUUCUCGGACCAGCGAGUGAUGGAUUGAUUGAGUCAUUGAGGGACUGUUUCCCGAGUGCCCAGCUCGAGUGCAUAACUGAGACCACGGUUCACCAACUUCAGGCUCCAGUUUAUCUGCGCCCACACUUCCUCAUUUAGUCUGCGAAGACCCAUUCUGAGGCUCCAGGAGGAGGGUAUCUAGUUUCCAAACCAGAUGGGAUCUUCAGGUUGGGACCAGAAGAGUCCAAGAUGACAGACAGAGGAACCCUGAUGCAGAGCCGUCUAGGUGAAAUCUGGAGGAACAAAGGACACUGUAGAAGCGCACAGAUUGGCUUCAUAAAGGAAUGUGAACUAUGAAAUGUAAAUCAGAGUAGUGGCUAAUGCUUGCUAUACUGGUUGUUCUAUUUACACUUUAAGAAAAUAAUCUCCUGGCUCGGCACUGGUAGCUCAGUGAGUAAGGGCGCCAGCCACAUACACUGAGGCUGGUGGGUUUGAGCCUGGCUGGGCCUGCUAAACAACAAUGACAACUCCAACCAAAAAAUAGCCAGGCAUUGUGGUGGGCACCUGUAGUCCCAGUUACUCGGGAGGCUGAGGCAAGAGAAUCUCUUAAGAGUUUGAGGUUGCUGUGAGCUGUGAUGCCAUGGCAUUCUACUGAGGGUGACAUAAUGAGACUCUGUCUCAACAACAACAACAAAAGAAAGAAAAGAAACUCCUUAUGAUUUAGUUUUAUCAUCUAUAAAAUAUCAGGAGGUGUGUAUGGAGACUGUCAUCUUCCCUACUUAAUAGUGUUGCCAUGAGAAUCAGAGGAAUUCAUCAGUGUAAUGUUUUUAUAAAAUAAAACCCCUUUACUUAAAGAAUCAAUAUUAAAACAGUGAAUUUUAAGAACUGAUGGCAAGGAUUAAGGGAAAUGGAGGAAAAGAAAAAAUGAAUAUCCAAUAGCAAUCACUGGGAUCAGAAUAAGCACUGUUUUGUAUUUGGUUUCUGGAGGUUUGUGUUUGCAUCAGUUUGUUCUUAUUAUCCACGGGACCUCAAGUUACUCACUGUAGUGCUUUCUCAUCUGUAAAAUCUGGAUGAGGAUGGAGUGUAAAAGCAAGUAGGAAGAUGUUUUAAUUCUCAUUAUAUAUUUUAAGACAGAGUGUCACUUUGUCACCCCUGAUAGAGUGUCAAGGCAUCAUAGCUCACAGCAAUGUCAAACUCUUGGGCUCAAGUGAUUCUCUUGCCUCAGCCUCCCAAGUAGUUGGGACUACAGGUGCCCACCACAACGCCCAGCUAUUUUUAGAGAUGAGGUCUUGCGCUGGCUCAAGCUGGUCUCAAACCUGUGAGCUCAGGCAAUCCACCUGCCUCAUCCUCCCAGAGUGUUAUGAUUACAGGCGUGAGCCACUGCAUCCAGCUCAAGAGACACCCACAUGGAUAAUAGAAAAUAUGUGUAGAUAUAUCAAUGUGGAAUGAUCUGGGCAGAAUAUAAAGUAGUGUCAUAUGUUGAAAAUACGGCUAAACAGAAAAAUGUGUGAAGAGAAAGAAAAAUCAGAAAACUAUGCAAAAGAUUUUAAAUACUUACUGAUAAUUACUGGAAAUUUGAGACUAUAAUCAGAGGAAUUUAAAAAUCAUAAAUUCCAAUGUCCAAAUUUAGCCAUUAUUAAUAGUAAGGUAUAUUUUAUUCCUCGUUUUUUUUUUUUUGAGACAGAGCCUCAAGCUGUCACCCUGGGUAGAGUGCUGUGGCAUCAUAGCUCACAGCAACCUCCAACUCCUUGGCUCAAGUAAUUCUCCUGCCUCCGCCUGCCACAAUGCCCGGCUAUUUUUUUGGUUGCAGCCAUCAUUGUUGUUUGGCGGGCCUGGGUUGGAUUCGAACCCGCCAACUCAGGUGUAUGUGGCUGGCACCUUAAGCUGCUUGAGCCACAGGCACUGAGCCUCUUCCUCACUUUUAUUCUGUAUAUGUCUCUCUCUACAUGAGAUCAACACAUAGAUAAAAUAGAUACUGAAAUCAAAUGUUAGAUAUCCUUUUUUUUUUUUUUUUUUUGAGACAGAGUCUCAAGCUGUCGCCCUGGGUAGAGUGCCAUGGCAUCACAGCUCAUAGCAACCUCCAACUCCUGGGCUUAAACGAUCCUCUUGUCUCAGCAUCCCAAGUAGCUGGGACAACAGGCGCCUGCCACAAUGCCUGGCCAUUUUUUGGUUGUAGUUGUCAUUGUUGUUUGGCAGGCCCAGGCUGGAUUUGAACCUGUCAGCUCUGGUGUAUGUGGUUGGCGCCUUAGCUGCUUGAGCUACAGGCGCUGAGCCAGAUAUCCUUCUUGUGUUAUUUUAUAACACAGAUCAUAAAAUACAGUAUUAUACCAUUCUUUACCAUGAAUAUUUCCGAAAAUUCUUAAAUAUGAAUUCAUUAUUGACAGCGUAUUAUUCCAACUUAUGAAUAAAUCAAGCUAUUCAUUCACCUAACAAUGUUUAUUCAAGUUGCUUAUUUCAAUUAAUACUGCUCUUAUAGGAUCUUCCCUGGAAAUAGGGACCUCCCAUUGCCCUACCAUAAUUAUUUAAGAGAGAAUAUAUUAAUAAAGAAGAGUAUAGCCUUUCUCCAUAGAUGUUUGCACUUCUGUACUGAUGUUAGGUAAAAUGUACGUGCAAAGUCUCCUGUGUGGGUUUCUUUUGUUUGGGUAUCUGCUGGUAUAUCUUUUCUCAAAUGAAUUAAUAUUUAAGGAUUAUCUAUUUCAGAUUCAUUUGGGAGAUUGGCUUAGUAAUUAUUGAUGUUUUUUCUCUGUCCUCCUGCUUACAAAUGUAUAAUUUAUAUUUUAAAGCCUUAUAACCUAUUCUGCAGAGAAUAUGUAUACAAUUUAUAAUUGCUUGAUUUUAACUUUUCUUACCUUUUGUAUAAUGGCAUAUCUGUAACAUGAUUUUGAUCAUAAUAUAGUAUCUAGGAAAACUGGGUUCUGCAACUUAUUAAAUUGAUAGCAUCUUCUUAACUAAAUGCUCUGAUAUAAAGUGACACUUCUUUCCAAAGGAUUUUCAUUUGCUAUAUUCAUGCUUUUGGACUUUCAUGAAUUAUUUGAUGUAUAAUAUAUUAAAAUUCAUUGGUGCUGGGCAGUUUGGGAGGCCGAGGCAGGAGGACUGCUUGGGGCCGUAAGCUUGAGACCAGCCUGGGCAAUGUAGCAAGACCCUAUUUCUAAAAAACAAACAAACAAAAAAACAAAUGAAUAAAAAAUUUUGCCACAUUA